This is a long non-coding RNA of Symphalangus syndactylus (siamang), 587 nucleotides long. RefSeq lists it as uncharacterized. The record is from RefSeq and is a predicted model, not a curated record. Lineage: Eukaryota; Metazoa; Chordata; Mammalia; Primates; Hylobatidae.
UAGUCAACCUGAGAAAGCUGAUUAAGAAUGAAUUAAUUAAUAGAGAGGAAAUAUUAAUGAACCUUUUCCUUUCUCUCUAAUCAGGUCAUCCAAGGAAACACAUCUACAAAAAUUGGCUCAAAGGCUUAAAUUUGUGUCAGUACAACUAUGAUGAUGAGCUGCUACCUGUAAGGAUUGUUCAUUAUUAGAGGAUCACUAAAGAAAGAUAUGGGGCUGGUCUCGAACUCUUGACCUCAAGUGAUCCAUCCACUUCAGCCUCCCAAAGUGCUGGGAUUACAGGCAUGAGCCACUGCGCCUAGCCAGAUUUACUUUCUUGGAGUCUGAAGAAGAUGGAGAUGGGCAGAGAGAUGAUUUCCAAACCUACGCGAAAUGCUGAUGCACAAAAAAUAAUAAAAAAGGCCAUGUAAGGACACAGUAACAAGGCAGUAGUCUACAAGCCAGGAAGAGAGGCCUCACCAGAAGCCAGCCCUGACAGCACCUUGAUCUUGGACGUCUAGCCUCCAGAACCGUGAGAAAAUAUCUCUAUUGCUUAAGCCAUCUAGUCGGUGGUAUUUUGUUACGGCAGCCCAAGAAGACUAAUAAGUACA